Long non-coding RNA from Leopardus geoffroyi (Geoffroy's cat), 3356 nucleotides. RefSeq lists it as uncharacterized. The transcript has 3 exons. Lineage: Eukaryota; Metazoa; Chordata; Mammalia; Carnivora; Felidae. The record is from RefSeq and is a predicted model, not a curated record.
CGGGAAUGGAUGAGUAGGGCCGCCCUCCGUGGAAACACGGUUUUGAAGAGGGCCUGCGUACACGCUGGGCCCUUCACAUCUGUAGACGGUGGAGGCCAGGAGAAAGGAUACUGUGUGCGAUGAGGUGAAGCAUGUGAGAGUGCUUUGUAACCGGAAAGUGCCUUUCAAAACUCCUGGUUUGCUGCUGGUACCUGAUAGAGAUGGAACUCCUGACCAUGGGACAUCAAGUGACUAUGUGAAUGAUCGAACUACUACUCGUCAUGAACUGGUGUUAUCUGAUUCACCAAUCAUACAACUGGAUGGGCAUAACAGCAGUUCACUCCCUACAAAACUGGGUACAUGGCCACAACUAAACUGAAUAAGCAGGUGACUCAGACUACUGUUAUUAGUACCUGCCCCUAUUCCUUCAGCACUUCUCCCUCAAUCCAUAUACACUGGCUUCAAAGGGGGUUCCCUCUGACCAAUUAAUGAAGGAAAAAAGUUUAGGUCUUGUUAAUUCACAAAAGGGUCUGCAAUGAGCUGGCAGUAGCUGGGUGUGAGUGGUCACUAUACAACACCAUCGCUCAAUAGUGGCCCUGAAUCACAACAGGAAAGGGAAAUCCUUUCCUUGAGAACUUUAGGAGACAUGGCCUGAGGUAAGGGUAUAGAGUGGUUCAUUGUGAGUGGCUUAUGAGUUGACAGGCUGGACAAGAACUUAGAACAAAUUAGAAAACUGGUUCAGUUUAUGGAGCCAACCAGGAGACAAUAACCUCCAAAUUUAGGAUGCAGACUUCAGAAUAAAGUAUUAUGCUUAAAUGCAGUAACCAAUAUGUAGUGCCAUCUUUCCCAGAAGGUAUGUAUAGUGGAGAUGAGCAUGGUCCCUCUAUUUUCUAUAUGUCUAUUUUUUUUAAAUAACUGGGAGCAUGUUUUCUGAAUUUGGUGAAAAGCAUGAAAUUACAGAUCCACAAAGCUCAGUGAAGCACAGGUAGGAAAAUUACCAAUGCGUGUUAUUGUCAAACUGACAAAACUAAGAAAAAUAUCUUAAAAGCAUUCAGAAAAAGUGCACAUCACACACAGGAGGGCUAUUAUAUGAACUUUUUAAAGUUUUUUAAUGGAAGCAUAACACACAUGUAGAAAAGUACACAAAUAUAAUUAUUUAGCACAACUUAUCACAAAGUAAAGAUAACUGUGUAAUCAAUACCCACAUCAAUAGCUACAACACUAACAUGCCCCCUUCUUAGUCAUUAUUCUUCUUUCUUCCCAAAGGUAAUCACUUUCCCAAAUUCUAACACCAAAGAUUAGGUUUGCCAAUGGUUAACUUUUAUAUAUAUUGAAUACAUAACUGUAUUCUCUUGUGUCUGGCUUCCUUUGUUUAAUAUUGUGAGGUUCAUCUCUCUGCCCCUCCCCUGCUCACUCAUCUCUCACUCAAAUAAACAAACAUUAAAAAAAAUCUUUAAAGAAAACAUUGUGAGGUUUAUCCAUGUUGUUACCUGGAUCGGUUGUUCAUUUAUUUUCAUUGUUAUACAAUGAAUGAAUAUAUUGCCAUUUACUUACCCGUUCUACCGUUGAUAGAUAUUGGCGAUGUUUCCAUUUAGGGCUAUUAUAAAGACUGAUGCUAUGAACAUUCUUUUGUAUGUCUUUUGGGGUACACAUGUAUGCAUUUUUGUUAGGUUCUCUAUUAUACCUAAAAACCCACUUGAAGAAUUUUUUGGUCCCUGAAACUUUGGACUUAGUGGUUUUGGUAGUAAACUUGGUACUAAAGAGAGGAAUGCUUCCUAAUACUUCAACGAAUUAGAAGUGGACACUGUUCACUGGCAGGUUUGGGCUUUUUCUGUCACUAACCAACAAGAGAGAAGGAAAUCACUCUACUGGCAGGGUGAGGGAUCCCUUUUAAUAGGGGGAAAUUGCGUUGCUGCUAUACAGCAGAAUAAAUAUGACUGUAUAUGGACUGUAACAGUAUUCUCUGAGAAGCUUGUUCGUAUUCUCUUAGCCAAUAGUCCAGUAAAAAACUAGGGUAACCCAAAAAGGACCUCUGCUAGGACUCAUCUUACAAGAAUGACUGUUGGGAGUACCCCACCCGGUAAGAAUCCCAUCCAGGUGAGGUACAAACAAAAAGUGAGAGAAACCAAGAAUGGAUGGUGAAUAGGGCACCUGGAUAGCUCAAUUGGUUAAGCAUCUGAUUUCAGCUCAGGUCAUGAUCUCAUGGUUUGUGGGUUUGAGCCAUCAGGCUCUGUGCUGACAGCAUGGAGCCUGCUUCAGAUUCUCUCCCUCUCUCUGCCCAGCUGUUCAUGCUCUCUCUCUGUCGCUCACUCCCUCUUUCUCUCUCUCAAAAAUAAGCAUUAAAAAAAAAAGUUAAAAAAAAAGAAUGGAUGGUGAAAGAAAACAGCUAUGUUUAUGAAUCUAGGCCUCAUGACCAACUUAAAAAAGCAGGUUUUAAGAGACUAUGAUUAUGUUUUGUAACUUCUUUUCUCCCCUACCAUAUAUGAAGAAUUCUAGGGUGCUAAUGUUUAUGGUUCCAGAGCUGAUUACACCACCCCAUGAUGAGUUUGUAACUGAUGGGAAGAGAUUGCUUAGUGGAAAAGAGUGAGUAGAUUUUGGCAUGCCUAAAUCUGGAAGUGAAAAAAGCAACAACAACAAAAAAAACAGAGCAGCAAGGAAAAUCGGUAAGCUUUACCCUGCAGCAAAAAUAUCAAUCUGUUCUUAAGGAAUUAAGUGCUUCACAAAGGUGAGUUCUCCAUGUGACUAAGGCUUCAAUUAUUCAUCGUGGACAGUAACCCAGUGCAGUUUGAAGGUCCUUGUCAUUACAGGUGGCCUAGUAAAUGUUUGACAACUAGCUCACCAGGAAAGAAAAAAAAAAAAGCUUUGAUUAUGGUGUUUGCAAAUUUCUUGGGGUAAAUAUCCCACUGUGGCUCAUUUCAGGCUACCAUAGGACAUCACAGAACACAGAAUUAGAAGAAGGUAUAUAUUAUCAAACUAUAAUAUUUCUAUAAUACAGAUACGAUCACCAUAACCACAAAAACAUGGAUAAUAGUAAAAUGAGGAAAUGAAUUUUGAAUAUUUAUUAUUCUUAUAUAUUGGAUUUUAACAUAAUUGUCAGCUUACAUAGUUAAUUCUUCAUAAAGGCUGUGUUUAACAGCCUGCAAAAUUUCUAAAAAUGUUUAAAUGUACUCAUAAAGCAGUAUAAGCCAGCUCUAGCAUAUACUGCUUUCUGCACUCUUAGUUUUGGAAGUGACUUAGGCAAUAGCUAAUAUGAGUUGAAUCCUUCAUGCCUUUUUCAUAUUCCUCCAUGUAUAUGAUACCUUGUUAUGACUUUAUUACUUUUUAAAAUCUUCUGAGCCAGCUGUAAAUGUUUAAUUUGUCACUUGUAAAUAAACACA